CAGUUCAGAUUGUAGGCUGAAACUCGCCUAUAUGAAGUCGGAAUUGCUAGUAAUCGCGGAUCAGCAUGCCGCGGUGAAUACGUUCCCGGGCCUUGUACACACCGCCCGUCACACCAUGAGAGUCGAUAACACCCGAAGCCUGUAGUCUAACCUUAGGGGGGACGCAGUCGAAGGUGGGAUUGAUAAUUAGGGUGAAGUCGUAACAAGGUAUC
This 212-nucleotide ribosomal RNA is filed under the name uncultured bacterium. RNAcentral describes it as "partial 16S ribosomal RNA". It matches the Rfam family "Bacterial small subunit ribosomal RNA", at positions 1289 to 1500 of the family's 1533-position model. The record is from RNAcentral.